CGAGUUGCCAUAUUUAUUGUUCUGUAUUAUUGAUUGUGAGUGUUUCUUUGAAUGCGGAUUGAAAAAUGGACGUUGACGAUUCGGCGGUUGAUCUGAGUGUCAGGUCUUUACCGCCAGAAAUAAGUGAGUUAAGAGCAUUAACGGCAAGUGGUUUAACAAUAACCCCAGCGCAGCCUCCACCACAUGGCGCCGGCGGCAAGCGGGUGCUGCGCCCACGUUCAGAACAGCGCAGCUAUGCAGAGAGUCCCGACAUUGUUCUGCUCCCAGCCGCUCCACCGCACAGGAAACCUACAAUACCUACAACACCUGCCCCUUUUACUGAUGUAAGCAGCAAAUUGAACUCAUCAGUGAACGUGUCAAUAACACCGAGCGUAUCCAUACCAGCACCCGAAUCGCCACGUGACCCUCGCGAUGACGAAGAGUCUGAAGACGAUGAGAACGAACCGCCUCUGUCCAUACCUGGACACAGAGAGCUAUCGAGUGCUGAAAUAUGGGAGCGCGAUCGUCGUCUACGUGCUCUCAGAGAGAAGCUGCGGGCUGAAGAAACUCGACUGGUCCUGUUGCGGAAGAUAAGGCAGUCCCAACAGGCCACGGGGCUGCCCCCCGCUAAGGAGAGUGGCGCGGGCACGGCGCUGGCGGGCAGCGGCUGCGUGGUGCCGCCCGGCGUGACGGUCACGCCCGCGCCGCCCCCCGCGCACCAGAACAAGCGGCCCGCCCCCCGCCCCGCCGCGCGCCCCGCUGCGCUGCCGGGCGGCGCCACGCUCACGCCGGGCUCGUACCGCGCGCCGCCGCAGGCCGCCGCCGUCACGCCCUCCGUCACCAUCACGCCCGCGCCGCCGCCGCCCUCGCACCACCAGCCCGCCAAGGCCAGCACGCGCAGUUCCGAAGACACCCAGACGCCGGCGCAGAGGCAGGCGGCCGCUAAACUGGCCCUACGGAAGCAACUAGAGAAGACGCUAUUGCAAAUCCCUCCCCCGAAGCCUCCGCCGCCCGAGAUGAACUUCAUCCCCUCCCCGAGCAACACGGACUUCGUGUACCUGGUGGGGCUCGAGCACGUCGUCGACUACUUGACAAACGAGGACCGCAUGCCGCGCUCGAGCGUGCCGGCGCUGUGCGCGCAGUGCGGGUGCGACUUCACGCCGGUGUGGCGCUGGGAGCGGCCGCCCGCGCGCCGCCAGGACGCCACGUUCUGCGUGUCGCCCGCGCCGCACGCGCGCCGCCUGUGCGAGCUCUGCGUCUCCGGGAACGUCAAGAGGGCGCUCAAGGCGGAGCACACGGCGCGGCUAAAGACUGCAUUCGUUCGCGCCUUGCAGCAGGAGCAGGAGAUCGAGCGGCGGCUGGCGGCCCCCUCCCCGCCGCCGCCCGCGCCCCCGCCCGCGCACGCGCCCGCCGCGCGCCCGCACCACGCGCCGCCCCCGCACGCCGACGCCGACGCGCGCGCGCCCCGCCCGCGUCCCCCGCCCCAGCAGGCGUCCCGCAGCGCGUCCCGCGGCAGCGUGCCGGCGCCGCCCUCCCCCGCCCCGCCGCCCGUCACCUCCACCACCAGGCCGUUGACGUCAUCGGAGUCGCUACGCAGCCACCACUCAGAACGCGGGAGCCGCGACUCUAGUGAGGUGGCUGCGAAAAAGAGUAAAAGUUCGUCUUCGAGUAGCACCACACAGGGCAGCACCAGCAAACAGCAUCAGCAACUGGCAGCCGCGGCCGCCGCGCAGAUGGCCUUCGAGCAGCAGAGCGCCGCCGCCAUGCAGGCUCUCCAGCAUCAGCUGCUCAGAGGUCUGAGCGGCGCGGGCGGGUCGGGCGGCAUGUCGGCGGCCGCGGCCAUGAUGCAGUUCACUCCGCUGCUGUACUCCUACCAGCUCGCCAUGGCGCAGGCCUCCGCGCUCGGCAAGAGAUCGGGCAAGGGCAGCUCGUCGGGCGGCAGUAACGCCGCCAUGGCCGCCGAGAUGCAACGCGUGGCCGAGGCGCAGCGCCAGUACCUGCUCGACUUGAUCCCGGGACAGCACGCGCGCAACCCCUGGACCAAGAACUGAACGGUAACGGAGCAGCUGAUGCACGAGAACACGACCGCCCUCUCACAUGUCCAAUGAAUCGAUAGUUCAUCGGAUUCAAAAAGCGGAUGCAUUUUAACAAUAUAAAAUAGAUAUCUUAAUUUUAAGAUAACUCUUAGGUUAAGACGAAGAAUUUUCGAAUGUUUUUCUAAUCAAUGUUUUGCACAAAAUAAGAAUAAAAACAAUUAAAUACGUAAGUAAUGCUUAGAUAAGUUAUCGGUUGACAGUGCUGUAUUAAAAAAAAAAUUACUAAGACGUGCCAGCCCUAAUUGAGAGCUUUCAUCUUUACUCAUGAAAAUCGUUUGGGUUUGGAAAAUAAAUACGCUGUACGUAUUUAUCAAUAAAGAGGAUAGUGUUGAAAAAAAUAUCGAUAUUAUAUCGAUGUUUAUGUUCUGUUCGAAAAAAAUCGAUGUUUUGAACAUUAUCGAUAUGCAAUCCAUGAGUGUUUGUGAAUUUGGACAGAUUCGUUAACAAUGUAACCGUUGAUUCUAUAAUUGCACCUCUAGAAUUAAAGUGGCUUAACUAACAUGUUUUAAGAAAAUGAGUUUUAUACUUUGAACGGCCAUUAAACAUGUCUAUGAGUUUAUUAAAACUAGAGGUCCCGCAGUAGUCGAAAUUCGACUAUAAUUAAUUGGAAUUGUAAGUUUGCACACUAUUAUGAUUGUAUUCUAUAUUUCUAUAAUCACAAAUUUCGCCAAGACUACACUAUAAAAAAUAUUAACAAAGACAAACAAUAUUUAAUCUCAAUUUGACAACAGACGUCAAGAACAAAAGUUUGACAAUAAAUAGUAUGCAUGCGUGUGUGCAUCAAAUACAUGGUAUGUAGUGUGUGUAACGUUUUCUUUAUUGAUUUAAUGUAUAUUUUAUGCAUUAUUUAAAAAAAAUAUUAGCAUUGUGCACUUCUUCUUUAUAUUCUCUAUAAGUGUGGAAAAUUUCAUACUCCUCCGUCCGUGCAAAUUUCGUAAAAAGGGAUACAAAGUUUUUGCUUCACAUAUUAAUAUAUAGAUUAAACAGCCCCUUUUAGUUUAGAAAAGAACGCUAAUACGCGUUAAAUGAAGCGCUUACCAAAGUAUUAUAAUUGAAAAACUAAAAUAUAAAAAAAAAACUUUAAUUAUUAUACAUUUUUGGUGUUUACCAAAAAAAAUAUUUUUUUGGAUAAGCCACAUCAAUUGUAAAGGUGCGUAAUGUUUUUCUUUUUAAACAUUUCAAAAAAUAUUUUACAUUCAAGUUCUCCAACAAGGAUACGGAUCAUGAAGCGAAACACUUUACACUUGUAGGGCAGGGCUACUACCCUUGCAUAUUAGUCAUGACUUCGAACCUCAAGGCGGGUGACGGUAUUCACGUUGUGAUGUCCAUGGACCGGUGACCAUUUAAUGCCGGGUGGAAAGUGAGCUCGCAGCUAAUUCGUAGACAAAAAAUUAUUAAAAUUAAUAUUCGAUUUUUUUUUAUAAAAUCAUCAAAAUAACAUUUAUUUUGUCUGUUUGUUCCGGCUAAUCUCUGGAACGGCUGGACCGAUUUUGACGAGACUUUCACUAAUAGAUCGCUGAUGGUAUAAAGAGUAACUUAGUCUACUUUUUUUUAGACUAGCUUCGUACCGCGGCGUCACAUGCGGUUCGAUAAUAACCGCGAUUAACAUCGCGGGAUUCAGCUAAUUGAACAUAAAGCCAAUGAAUGAAUUAUCGCACGUGUGCUCUAUAGUAGAAAUGUUUAAUUUUAGCGAAAACGAGAAAACUUGACUUUGGUAAUUAUAAUACUAGAUGAUGAAUUCCUCGGUAUUUUUUUUUUAUAAAUUGUGCUUUUUAGAAAUUCUAUUUAAAUACGAAUUACAUAUUGAUAAAAUGAUGAAAUAUUCCAAGAUCCUUUAGGCAUUUUUAAGUGAACACGUGAGUUAAAAAGACACAAAUAAUAUAAAUGAACAAUUCAUUUUCUUGGUCUAACCUUAAACCAAACACCCAUUGGCUUCGGGUGGCUUAACAACGCCAUCUGCUGAAGUAGCUUUAAUGUUAUUGUGUCUUUAAAGCAGUUAGUUGCUCUCAAUUAAGAAAAAUAGUAUUAUUAUUCGCCAAUAGAUGUCGAGAAGAGUCAUAAAGUUGAUUAUUGAAAAACACGAACAAAAUAACAUUUUCUUAAAAUAAAUCGUAGCUAGAUCCGACUUAUCGCCCCCGAAAUCCUCUUAUACUAAAUUUUAUGAAAAUCGUUUGGAGCCGUUUCCGAGAUCCAGAUUAUAUAUAUUUAUAUACAAGAAUUGCUCGUUUAAAGAUAUAAGAUUAGUGAGGUGACAGCUUGUCAUCGAUGGCGCUGCGAGCUCGCCGCGUCCGGUCCGACGUACCACUAACGUAAACAGCACUGUUCGUUUGUCCGUACGCGUGAAAGUCGAGAAAUGAUUUUUGUAUGAUUUUUAUUUAGUAUUAGGUAAAUAAAAGAGAUUUGUGAAAAUUAAA
Bombyx mori (domestic silkworm) is the source of this 4489-nucleotide RNA transcript. It is a transcript of the gene named transcriptional repressor p66-alpha, with no coding region annotated. Lineage: Eukaryota; Metazoa; Arthropoda; Insecta; Lepidoptera; Bombycidae. The record is from RefSeq and is a predicted model, not a curated record. The transcript has 18 exons.